This 253-nucleotide ribosomal RNA is filed under the name uncultured archaeon. RNAcentral's name for it is "partial 16S ribosomal RNA". It matches the Rfam family "Archaeal small subunit ribosomal RNA", at positions 474 to 727 of the family's 1478-position model. The record is from RNAcentral.
AACCAGCACCUCAAGUGGUCAGGAUGAUUAUUGGGCCUAAAGCAUCCGUAGCCGGUUCUGUUAGUCUUCGGUUAAAUCUAUCCACUCAAGUGACAGGCCGCCGGGAAUACUGCAAAGCUAGGGAGUGGGAGAGGUAGACGGUACUCGGUAGGAAGGGGUAAAAUCCUUUGAUCUAUUGAUGACCACCUGUGGCGAAGGCGGUCUACCAGAGCACGUCCGACGGUGAGGGAUGAAAGCUGGGGGAGCAAACCGG